This 557-nucleotide ribosomal RNA is filed under the name uncultured bacterium. Its description in RNAcentral is "bacterial SSU rRNA". It matches the Rfam family "Bacterial small subunit ribosomal RNA", at positions 369 to 917 of the family's 1533-position model. The record is from RNAcentral.
UNNUGGGCGAAAGCCUGAAGGAGCGACNNNCGCGUGGGGGAUGAAUGGCUUCGGCCCGUCNACCCCUGUCAUUUGCGAACAAAUUAUUUUACCUAACACGUAAAGUAUUGAUAGUAGCGGAAGAGGAAGGGACGGCUAACUCUGUGCCAGCAGCCGCGGUAAUACAGAGGUCCCAAGCGUUGUUCGGAUUCACUGGGCGUAAAGGGUGCGUAGGCGGUCGGGUAAGUCUGAUGUGAAAUCCCGCAGCUUAACUGCGGAACGGCAUUGGAUACUAUCCGGCUCGAGGAGUGGAGGGGAGACUGGAAUUCUCGGUGUAGCAGUGAAAUGCGUAGAUAUCGAGAGGAACACCUGUGGCGAAGGCGAGUCUCUGGACACUUCCUGACGCUGAGGCACGAAAGCCAGGGGAGCAAACGGGAUUAGAUACCCCGGUAGUCCUGGCCCUAAACGGUGCGCAUUUGCUGUGAGCGGAAUCGACCCCGCUCGUGGCGAAGCUAACGCGUUAAAUGCGCCGCCUGGGAAGUACGGCCGCAAGGUUAAAACUCAAAAAAAUUGACGGA